CGCUGGCGGCGUGCUUAACACAUGCAAGUCGAACGGAAAGGCCCUUCGGGGUACUCGAGUGGCGAACGGGUGAGUAACACGUGGGUGAUCUGCCCUGCACUCUGGGAUAAGCCUGGGAAACUGGGUCUAAUACCGGAUAGGACCACACACUUCAUGGUGAGUGGUGCAAAGCUUUUGCGGUGUGGGAUGAGCCCGCGGCCUAUCAGCUUGUUGGUGGGGUAAUGGCCCACCAAGGCGACGACGGGUAGCCGGCCUGAGAGGGUGACCGGCCACACUGGGACUGAGAUACGGCCCAGACUCCUACGGGAGGCAGCAGUGGGGAAUAUUGCACAAUGGGCGCAAGCCUGAUGCAGCGACGCCGCGUGAGGGAUGACGGCCUUCGGGUUGUAAACCUCUUUCAGUAGGGACGAAGCGAAAGUGACGGUACCUACAGAAGAAGGACCGGCCAACUACGUGCCAGCAGCCGCGGUAAUACGUAGGGUCCGAGCGUUGUCCGGAAUUACUGGGCGUAAAGAGCUCGUAGGUGGUUUGUCGCGUUGUUCGUGAAAACUCACAGCUUAACUGUGGGCGUGCGGGCGAUACGGGCAGACUAGAGUACUGCAGGGGAGACUGGAAUUCCUGGUGUAGCGGUGGAAUGCGCAGAUAUCAGGAGGAACACCGGUGGCGAAAGCGGGUCUCUGGGCAGUAACUGACGCUGAGGAGCGAAAGCGUGGGUAGCGAACAGGAUUAGAUACCCUGGUAGUCCACGCCGUAAACGGUGGGUACUAGGUGUGGGUUUCCUUCCUUGGGAUCCGUGCCGUAGCUAACGCAUUAAGUACCCCGCCUGGGGAGUACGGUCGCAAGACUAAAACUCAAAGGAAUUGACGGGGGCCCGCACAAGCGGCGGAGCAUGUGGAUUAAUUCGAUGCAACGCGAAGAACCUUACCUGGGUUUGACAUGCACAGGACGUACCUAGAGAUAGGUAUUUCCCUGUGGCCUGUGUGCAGG
This 987-nucleotide ribosomal RNA is filed under the name Mycobacteroides abscessus. RNAcentral describes it as "bacterial SSU rRNA". It matches the Rfam family "Bacterial small subunit ribosomal RNA", at positions 34 to 1038 of the family's 1533-position model. The record is from RNAcentral. Lineage: Bacteria; Bacillati; Actinomycetota; Actinomycetes; Mycobacteriales; Mycobacteriaceae.